Molecule: ribosomal RNA, 369 nt
Filed under: uncultured organism
Description: partial 16S ribosomal RNA
Rfam family: Bacterial small subunit ribosomal RNA
Source: RNAcentral
GUACUGUGCAAACGUUAUUCGGAAUCACUGGGCUUAAAGGGUGCGUAGGCGGUUAGAUAAGUAGGAUGUGAAAUCCCCGGCCCAACCGGGGAACUGCGUUCUAAACUGUCUGACUUGAGUAAGAUAGGGGUGUGCGGAACUUCCAGUGGAGCGGUGAAAUGUGUUGAUAUUGGAAGGAACGCCGGUGGCGAAAGCGGCACACUGGGUCUUAACUGACGCUGAGGCACGAAAGCUAGGGUAGCGAACGGGAUUAGAUACCCGGGUAGUCCUAGCUGUAAACGAUGAGCACUAGACGGGAGGGGCUUCGGCCUUUCCCGGUUGCAGCGAAAGCAUUAAGUGCUCCGCCUGGGGAGCAUGGUCGCAAGGCUG